GAGAAAGGUUGUGUGCAUGUGUGUGUCUGUGUGCAUUGUUAAAGUUGAAGGAGGUGCGUCGGGAGGUGGAGCUCUCUCGGAGGCGCAGUCUGAAGCUGAAGGCUCAGGUGGAUAAACUACAGGAGAACAGAGAGGGAACGGGAUGGAGUCAACACAGAGCGAAGGUUACAGAGGAGGUUCACUCCAUUCUGAGGUUGUUGCUUCCUUUGACAGGAUCCAGCCCAGUAGAACCGUCUGGUCAGGAGAACAGUCUGGAUACAGCACUGGUUCUGCUGCAGAACGUGGCACGCAAACUAGCAUUGAACCACACAGCACAGGAUUCCAAGUCCGGGGGUCGUAGAGAAAAUGAUGUGGAUGGCAGUGCUGUUCUACAACAGGCACUACAGGACAGAGACGAUGCCUUGGAGAAGAAGAAGGCCAUGGAGGCGGAGCUUCUUCGCAGUAAGACAGAGAUGAUGUUACUUAACAACCAGCUGCUGGAGGCCGUGCAGAAAAGACUGGAGCUCGCUUUGGAAGUAGAGGACUGGAAGGACGAUGUCCAGAUGAUCCUCCAGCAACAGCUCCGGAGCCAGCAACAACAGGCAGCAGAACAAGCCCAGAGGAAGCCGUCCCGUCUGGGGCUGCUGAGGAGGACCAACAGACCCCCCCUCCAGAGGCCAGCCUCUACCCCCUUGACCUACACCACUGGACAGGUUCCCGUUAGUACCCGCGUCCCUUCCCCCUCUCCCACCCCCCAAUGUACCCCUGUCACCUGGAGGGACAGGCUGAAAAGGGGGAAGGUGGGUCGUCAUAGUGGCCAGGAUGCAGAGCAGGCAUUGCAGGCAUCGCGGUCGUCGAGCGGCAGCAGACUGGAGGAGGGGUUUCAUACCAUAGACUUAUAAUAACACAUCAUACACAAAAUGAUAUGCAUUUAAGGGAGGGAUACAACUCAUAUCUAUGUACUGUAUUUACUGGUAGCUACUUUAUCAAUCUUUCUAACUGUGGAUUCUUACUGGGAGAGAUACAUUGAGCUGAUAGUUAGAUACAGAAUCACAAGCAGAUUCAUUCUCCAAUCUACUAGUACUGUGCACCGCUCUGAUCUGUUUGGCUUUAGGAAAAUAUUUUUCAGAGAAUUAUGUCUAUUGGUGCCUGGAUACUACAUUUAGGUUGGAGAUUUUCCCUCCAACUCUAGGCAUACAUUUUCUAUUGUAAUGACAAGCAGUCAUGUUGACUGUAACACGUGUCUCUGAUUAAAGGGGCAAUCCUUAGUUGCUAGGGCAACAUACAUUUUUGGACAUAGAAAUGAAUGAUAUCUGCCCAUUGAUUCUUGAAGAAUAUAACAUAUAAAUGCAUAUCAAUGCCUAAUGAGCUUAGUUCAACUGUCAUAGUCCAUCAGAACCCAAAAUAUAAGCUUGUUUUACUCCAAUGUUUGUAAAUAUAAAUGUAAACAAACAGGGCCAAUUGCAACCACUGAUGGCCACUAGAUUAUCGCCAGCCGAUCUCUCGUUAAACCAAAAUUUAUGUUGCUGUAGCAAAUAAGGAUUGACCCUUUAAUCAGACUAAGAGAUUGGAGAAUGAGUCUGCUUGUGACUGUGUAUCUAACCAGAGGGUGAAAUUGAGAGGUGGCACCACAGGUUCCAAAGUGGUGUGGCACUGGUCAGGUAAAACUCUGGGCCCUAUUCGUAGGCUAUGAUAAAAUAUUAUUAUUAUAGAUAGAACAGAUGAAAAGGGAAGCUAUGAAUAGGGCUGGAGUUUUUCUUGUCAAGACAUGUGAAUUGGAAACACUCCUGGCCUAAGGUGAAUCAAACCCUUUCAAACUCCUACAAACCUUGUUAUUGUUCAUUCUGAAGCCUUUAUGUAUGGCAGAGUUACAUUUAGCACUAUACUCAGUAUAAUUUGUAACAAGCCAGGGUUACAUUUAAUAUUAUACACAGUAAAAUUUGUAACAAUGUUUUUUUUAAUGUGUAAGUCAUAAAACCACUAACUUUGUGUCAUUGUCCUGGUCUCCAUCUGGGCUACCAGAGGUUGGAUCCCUGCUUCUCACUGUUGGAACUGAUUGCCUGUAAAAUCCAUAUUGUCAAUCAUUAAAUCAACUACUUUAAACAUUUUUAUUGAAAAUUAUAUUCCCC
Molecule: long non-coding RNA, 2108 nt
Organism: Oncorhynchus tshawytscha (Chinook salmon)
Lineage: Eukaryota; Metazoa; Chordata; Actinopteri; Salmoniformes; Salmonidae
Source: Ensembl